This 193-nucleotide ribosomal RNA is filed under the name uncultured bacterium. Its description in RNAcentral is "partial 16S ribosomal RNA". It matches the Rfam family "Bacterial small subunit ribosomal RNA", at positions 340 to 524 of the family's 1533-position model. The record is from RNAcentral.
UACGGGAGGCAGCAGUGAGGAAUAUUGCGCAAUGGGGGAAACCCUGACGCAGCGACGCCGCGUGGAUGAUGAAGGCCUUCGGGUUGUAAAAUCCUGUCAGAUGGGAAGAAGUGCACUAUGUCUAAUACAUAUAGUGUUUGACGGUACCAUUAAAGGAAGCACCGGCUAACUCCGUGCCAGCAGCCGCGGUAAU